This is a long non-coding RNA of Eurytemora carolleeae, 1298 nucleotides long. RefSeq lists it as uncharacterized. The transcript is spliced from 5 exons. Lineage: Eukaryota; Metazoa; Arthropoda; Copepoda; Calanoida; Temoridae. The record is from RefSeq and is a predicted model, not a curated record.
CUUAAUAGGUAAACAUGCAGUACACUACCAGAUCCUAAUAGAUUUUCGACGUCUGUUCCUACGGGAAGCCCACCACAAAACAGGUUUAAAGAACAUGGAAGAUCCAGUUUAGUAGAGAGAAGAGGAGGACCUAGACUAGAUGGCAUCACGCAAUCUAAUAUAUCUCCUAAUUAUGAAGAAAGUGUGAUGAAUGGUAACCUAAGUGCUCCAGGGUUAUUAGCUCCUCCCUCCAGAAACGGCGGAACUAGUCCACAACGACCAUCAAGAAGAAAAAAUUCACCUUACUAGGCUCAAAUUAUUUUCCAGUUUUUAGAAAAACGAAACAAAAUUGUUCAGAAGCCGUUUUUCUUAAUUUUGGCGGGAACAAAAGAUGUUUAUUGUUAAAGGAAAUUUUCUCAAAAAAAAGAUGUUUAUGUAUUGCUAGGUUGCUCGCGAGAAACGGGUUUUCCAAUCAUCAAUUUAAUAAUUAUUAAAGCCAAAAUAUCUUUUAUUUUUCGCGAGCACUCCUUUUAAACAAAAAGAAAUUUGUAAAAAUGCGUGGCAUUCAUGAACAGUUUUUUUUCGCCUAAUUUUCUUCAAUCCAUUCCUGGAGACUGCUCAAUACAAGUAGUUCAACCUCCAUCUUGUUUUGUAUACUCAAGGGGACUGUUCCCGAGAUGUUAAAAGGGACUAUACUGUAGACGUAAUUUCAAGUUACCUUUCAUAAUUUCAUGUACCGUUGUACACAUUACAUGCCACUCAACAAAUGGAGGGUUACAUGAUAUGAUGUCUCCAGAGUCCCAAUUUAAUGAAUUUGAGCCGCGCCAUAAACCGGUUUCAAUUAAGCGCCGGCUUAAAUCUUGAAAAAUUGAAUACAAUUUUGAGUAGAACCAAUAAUCUUUGAGCCCCAGCUUAAAUUUAAACCGCGGCUCAAAUUUAUCAAAUUCGGACUCUGUCCAUUAAAAUCCAUGCUCCAACCCUUGAUGUAUUGUUAAUACAACUUUUAGACCUAAACUUUUUUAUAAUUUUUAUAAUUUCUGGUUUUGUUAUACCUUGGAACCAGCUUAAAACCCCGCCCCAUAUAUUAAAAGAAUCAGAGGAACUUCAAAAAAAAUUUAAUGCGAUAGAAAUUCGUAAAGAUGAAAAAGACACAUUUUCGAACAAUUUGUAAUUUAUUAUGCUGCUGUAUAUUGAUAACAACCCUGUCCAUGCCAAUAUAUAUAUUUUGAAUAAUUUGCAUCCUUUGAAUUUCUUAUACAUACUUUACGUGCACAGAAUAGGUUUGUAUUUUUACCCUUGAAAUAAAUAUUUGAUGAAAA